This 463-nucleotide ribosomal RNA is filed under the name uncultured bacterium. RNAcentral's name for it is "partial 16S ribosomal RNA". It matches the Rfam family "Bacterial small subunit ribosomal RNA", at positions 28 to 523 of the family's 1533-position model. The record is from RNAcentral.
GAUGAAUGCUGGCGGCGUGCCUAAUACAUGCAAGUCGAGCGGCAGCGCGGUCUUCGGACUGGCGGCGAGCGGCGGACGGCUGAGUAACGCGUGGGAACAUACCCCAAAGUGAGGGAUAACCGCCCGAAAGGGUGGCUAAUACCGCAUAUGAUCUUCGGAUUAAAGGAUUUAUCCGCUUUGGGAAUGGCCUGCGUACGAUUAGAUUGUUGGUGAGGUAAUGGCUCACCAAGUCGACGAUCGUUAACUGGUCUGAGAGGAUGAUCAGUCAGACUGGAACUGAGACACGGUCCAGACUCCUACGGGAGGCAGCAGUAAGGAAUCUUCCACAAUGGGCGAAAGCCUGAUGGAGCAACGCCGCGUGCAGGAUGAAGGCCUUCGGGUUGUAAACUGCUUUUAUAAGUGAAGAAUAUGACGGUAACUUAUGAAUAAGCACCGGCUAACUACGUGCCAGCCGCCGCGGUAA